This is a non-coding RNA of Camelina sativa (false flax), 220 nucleotides long. The record is from RefSeq and is a predicted model, not a curated record. NCBI's taxonomy places the organism in Eukaryota, Viridiplantae, Streptophyta, Magnoliopsida, Brassicales, Brassicaceae.
AACUGGGGUUGCAUGCUUCGAAGCAGCCAGAUGCUCUUUGCACAGGCAUUGCUAUUCCAAAGGCUGGGAAGGUCUUGGAGGAAAAAGGAAUCUGAGCCGCCUGAAGAGGAAUACUUAGGGAUAUUAGAACUUUUUGGUGAUUCUGAGGCUUCAGCAUUCUCGAUUCACAAUCUUAUACUAGCUGGAGAAUCUUAUGGCCUGGCUGCUGGGUCAUGGGUAG